RNAcentral lists this ribosomal RNA (777 nucleotides) under Triticum aestivum (bread wheat). RNAcentral's name for it is "partial small subunit ribosomal RNA". Lineage: Eukaryota; Viridiplantae; Streptophyta; Magnoliopsida; Poales; Poaceae. The record is from RNAcentral.
AUGGAAUUGAGUUUGUCUCAUACGCUUGACCUUUUUAAUAUCUUUCGUGAGUAUGAUGGAAAUGAUAAUUGUGCUCAAGUGCUAGAAGAAGAAAUCUAUAAAAUGUUUGGCACUAAAUAUUUGAAUGAUGAGCAUGAUUGCAAUGUUGUUAGUAUGAAUUCCUUGAAUAUCCAUGAUGCUAAUGAUAUGCAAAGCCACAAGCUUGGGGAAGCUAUGUUUGAUGAAGAUGAUAUCUUUUGUCCCCCAAGUUUUGAUGAGCAAAUUUAUUAUGACGAAAGCAUGCCUCCUAUCUAUGAUGAUUAUUGUGAUGACAUGUAUGCUUUAAAGAAUAAUGAUAUCCAUGAAACUUGUCAUCAUGAUUUUAGUUUUCAAUUGGAUUAUGCCUCACAUGAUAAUUAUUUUGUUGAGUUUGCUCCCACUAUUAUUCAUGAGAAGAAUUUUGCUUAUGUGGAGAGUAGUAAAUUUUGCAUGCUUGUAGAUCAUGAAAAGAAUGCUUUAGGUGCUGGUUAUAUUGUUGAAUUCAUUCAUGAUGCUACUGAAAAUUAUUAUGAGGGAGGAACAUAUGCUUGUAGGAAUUGCAAUAAUAUCAAGUUUCCCCUCUAUGUGCUUAAAGUUUUGAAGUUAUGCUUGUUUUGCCUUCCUAUGCAAGUUGAUUCUUGUUCCCAUAAGUUGUUUGCUCACAAAAUCCCUAUUCAUAGGAAGUAUGUUAGACUUAAAUGUGCUAGUAAUAUUCUUCAUGAUGCUCUCUUUAUGUUUCAAUUCCUAUCCUUUAUGUGA